ACUGAAAUCAACGACAUAACUUCACACUGCAUCUGAGUGAUACAGCUAAUGCGAGACACUGAGACAAGAGAAAUAAAAUAACGAGGAUGGGCACUGCAGUGAGUGUGGAAGCUAUAGCUCAUAGUACCUGGGAAGUCAGAGGCUUGAAUAUAUAUGCCUCUGGUUUGCUGAUUAUUGGAGCUGUGAUAGUGGUAACAGCGGCCGGAGCAGUGUAUGUGUACAAUUACAUGACAAGAAAUACUGACGGACAAGAUCAUUCCUCUCAAAGUGACCCUGCACAGUGGCAACAGGUGCCUGCUCAUUGGAUACAGAUUCUUCGUGCACUGCUGUUGACCAUCUGACUUUGAAUGUAGUGUAUUUUGUUGUACCAAGUGUAUCUGGAAUCAUAACUCUGCAAUAAAAACAAAAUGCAGACCUA
Long non-coding RNA from Epinephelus moara (kelp grouper), 418 nucleotides. RefSeq lists it as uncharacterized. The record is from RefSeq and is a predicted model, not a curated record. The transcript has 3 exons. Lineage: Eukaryota; Metazoa; Chordata; Actinopteri; Perciformes; Serranidae.